RNA transcript from Chelonia mydas (Green sea turtle), 1351 nucleotides. It is a transcript of the gene named endonuclease V, with no coding region annotated. The transcript is spliced from 9 exons. Lineage: Eukaryota; Metazoa; Chordata; Testudines; Cheloniidae. The record is from RefSeq and is a predicted model, not a curated record.
GCGGGGCGCGGGUGUUUGGGUCGCUGGGAUUAGCCCGUUGGCAGCCCUCGGCCGACUUGCCCCCUCCCCCCGCGCUGAAGGCACGAACAGCUCCCGGGAGCCCGGCCCGCGCCGGGGCCCUAGGAACCCAUCGGCUCCGCUCCGCGUCCCCGGGGGGCCGGAAAGCGGCAACCCCCCGCCAGCGGCUCCGCCGGAAGCGGCGCCAUGGCGCACAGCGAGACGGAGCCGCCGGAGGAGGAGACCCUGCGCCGCUGGGAACGGGAGCAGGCCCAGCUAAAGGCGAAUGUGAUUGAGGAGGACACUGAGGAGUGGCAGAAAGAUUCCACCUUUGCCGGACUGGAGAGAGUGGGAGGGGUGGACCUCUCUUAUGCCAAAGGGAACGACACAAUCGCUUGCGCUUCCCUGGUGGUUCUCAGCUACCCAGAUCUUGAGGUGCUAUAUGAGGACUGUCAGAUGGUAACCGUGAGCGCCCCCUACGUGGCAGGAUACUUAGCUUUUCGAGAGGCCCCUUUCCUGGUGGAAGCUGCUCAGAGACUUCAGGAGCGAGAGCCUGGGCUCAGGCCUCAGGUGCUGCUCGUAGAUGGGAAUGGCGUGCUCCAUCACAGAGGGUUUGGGGUGGCCUGCCACCUGGGGGUGCUGACGGGCCUGCCCUGUAUUGGUGUGGCCAAAAACCUCCUGCAGGUUGAUGGCCUGGCCAAGGAUGAGCUGCACAAGGAGCAGAUCCGUGACCUGCAGAUGGGAGGAGCCAUGUUCCCUCUGAGGGGCACCUCAGGGAGAGUCCUGGGCAUGCCCCAGAUCUCUGAUCUGUCCGGUGUCCAACCCUCCAGGCCCUGCGCAGCUACAACAAGAGCACGAAGCCCAUCUACGUCUCCGUAGGCCACAGGACGUGCCUGGAGUCGGCAGUGCGCCUGGUCCAGUCCUGCUGCUGACAUCAGAUCCAGAGAGUACAUCCGGAAGCACCUGUCCUCCCCACUGGGGGGCACGUCUCCUGGGCCAGGGAGGAAGGAAGAAGCUGAGCCCAAGCAUUAAUUUGGCACCAGGAAGACACUGUCCAGCCCCAGUGUGAACUUGAGCCUUCCACCCCCUCUGGGAUCAGAGCUCUGAGACCUCCUUUCCAGCAAGCCUCUACAGGGCACCGUGACUAACCGUCCAUGCCAGGAACUCAGGGUAAUUCAUGGGGUGAAAAGCCAGGAUGACCAGAGAGAAACCAGGAGACUGUGUCCCCCUGGGCUCUGCUAAUGGGGCAGGAGCCCCAGCCUUUGAUGGUUUGUAAAUUCUAGAGAAUAUUUUAUAUUCCAAUUUUGAAAACACACGCUGUAAAAAUAAAUUCUCACCAGCACUCGUACACUAA